This is a non-coding RNA of Aedes aegypti (yellow fever mosquito), 66 nucleotides long. NCBI's taxonomy places the organism in Eukaryota, Metazoa, Arthropoda, Insecta, Diptera, Culicidae. The record is from Rfam.
UGCCCAGCAACUCCUAUCCCUACCUCCUCGUGGUACUGGCCGGGGUACGAGUAACCUUAGGGAAGA